This 253-nucleotide ribosomal RNA is filed under the name uncultured bacterium. RNAcentral's name for it is "partial 16S ribosomal RNA". It matches the Rfam family "Bacterial small subunit ribosomal RNA", at positions 524 to 776 of the family's 1533-position model. The record is from RNAcentral.
UACGAAGGGAGCAAGCGUUGUUCGGAAUUACUGGGCGUAAAGGGCGCGUAGGCGGUUUAACAAGUCAGGCGUGAAAGCCCCGGGCUCAACCCGGGAAUAGCGCUUGAGACUGUUUUUCUAGAGUUCGGAAGAGGUAAGUGGAAUUUCCAGUGUAGCAGUGAAAUGCGUAGAUAUUGGAAAGAACACCAGUGGCGAAGGCGGCUUACUGGUCCGACACUGACGCUGAGGCGCGAAAGCGUGGGGAGCAAACAGG